Ornithorhynchus anatinus (platypus) is the source of this 1214-nucleotide long non-coding RNA. RefSeq lists it as uncharacterized. The transcript is spliced from 3 exons. The record is from RefSeq and is a predicted model, not a curated record. Lineage: Eukaryota; Metazoa; Chordata; Mammalia; Monotremata; Ornithorhynchidae.
AGUGCUUUAGAACAGUGCUCGGCGCCCAGGGAGCGCUCAACAAAUACCAUUAUUAUGAUGAUUAUUAUAGCAGAGCCCUGGCUGGAGGAAGGGACGCAGGAGGAGGAGGCAGAGCUUCUGCUCCAGACACGCUGACAGCGUGUGGGAGAGGUCAGACGCUCACGCUUGCACAACUACACGUAUGUACACACGUAGUCUGGACUGGGCAGCGAGGGGUGGAGAGGCAGAGGAGGAAACCCAGCUCCUGCCCUUUGGAGUCUGACAGCGUCAGGGCAGAGCAAGAAUACACAGAGCGAAGGCCGGGGUGGAGGGGGCGGCCGAUGAGCCGCGUUCUCCUCCUUCCUGUGGAUCUGGUGACCCUGGGCCAGUGGAUCCCCUGUUGUGUGUUUGGAGGCGGAGGAGCUGAACUGGCAGAAAUCUGUGAGCUGGCCAUUCUCAAAUUCAUCAAAGAGUGACAUCUGGCAGGAGCAACAGAUCGACUCCUCUGUUUUGCAUUUUGCAAGCUGCGAGUCAGAAACCCUGACGGCUUGUAAGGUGCAACACAGCAGGAUUCUCUGAAGAAUACAGCGGCCCAGGAGCGAACUCACCCCAGAAGCCACAGGGGUGCAGUCACCAGAAGACCUCCCGUGCCACUGUUCCGCUACUGCUCCUGUAUUCUGCCAGUCCUUCGUGGAAAUGGGGUUCACACAGACUUGGGAAAGGAGUACAACGGUUCUGGACCAAGCGAGGGAGAUCGCCGGUCCCGCAGAGAAGCCCUCUGGGAUCAGGGAAAUUCAGACUGACUCCCACAAAAUGCACCUGGGACUUGCUCAUGUUACCCUGUGAGCAAAAACUUGUAAACCGUUUCAUUGAAUCAAUCAGGCGUCCCGGGCUGAUGAUAAGUCAAAAGAAAAUGGAGGUGAUAUAUCAGCCUGCACUAUUUAAGCCAUUCACACAACCAAACAUUCAUUUUGGCAGGCCAGAGGUUAAAACCUCUGACAGGAUUCUGCUACACAGGCAGCACACCGAUCAACAACAGAAUGAUAGACAAGGAAAUAGAAAAUAGUCAAACAGUUGACAGGAGACUGUCAGUCAGAAUGGGUUGGCAAAAAUGAUAUCAGGCUGAAAACCAAACUGAGUGUCUACAGGGCUGAAGUGUUGUCCAACCAAUAAUAAUGUUGGUAUUUGUUAAGCGCUUACUAUGUGCCGAGCACUGUUCUAAGCGCUGGGGUAGA